GUGGAUUAGAUACCCUGGUAGUCCACGCCCUAAACGAUGCUGACUAGUUGUUGGGAAUUUACAUUCUCAGUAACGUAGCUAACGCGUGAAGUCAGCCGCCUGGGGAGUACGGUCGCAAGAUUAAAACUCAAAGGAAUUGACGGGGACCCGCACAAGCGGUGGAUGAUGUGGAUUAAUUCGAUGCAACGCGAAAAACCUUACCUACCCUUGACAUGUCACUAACGAAGUAGAGAUACAUUAGGUGCCCGUAAGGGAAAGUGAACACAGGUGCUGCACGGCCGUCGUCAACU
Molecule: ribosomal RNA, 290 nt
Filed under: uncultured bacterium
Lineage: Bacteria
Description: partial 16S ribosomal RNA
Rfam family: Bacterial small subunit ribosomal RNA
Source: RNAcentral